UGCGGUAUUUUAACUGUACUAAGGUAGCAUAAUAAUUUGCCUUAUAAAUUGAGGCUAGUAUGAAAGGUUUGACGAAGGUUUACCUGUCUCUUUUUUAUUUAAUAGAAAUUAAUUUUUUAGUGAAAAAGCUUAAAUUCUUCAAAGGGACGAGAAGACCCUAAUGAGCUUAAAUUUUAUUUUAUUAUAUAUAUAUUUUAUAGUAAAAAAGAAAUUUUAGUUGGGGUGAUUAAGGAAUAAAAAUGAAUGAUGUAACUUCCUUAAAUAUAAAAUUGUUAAAUUAAGUAACCAAUUUAUAUUGCUUAUAAUAGAGUUACCAUAGGGAUAACAGCGUAAUUUAUUUAGAGAGCUCAUAUCAAAAAAUAAGAUUGCGACCUCGAUGUUGGAUUAAAGUAACCUUAAGGUGCAGU
RNAcentral lists this ribosomal RNA (407 nucleotides) under Sepia officinalis (common cuttlefish). RNAcentral describes it as "partial 16S ribosomal RNA". It matches the Rfam family "Bacterial large subunit ribosomal RNA", at positions 1932 to 2559 of the family's 2925-position model. Lineage: Eukaryota; Metazoa; Mollusca; Cephalopoda; Sepiida; Sepiidae. The record is from RNAcentral.